AGAACUUAGAAGAGAGAAGUAGUAUAAGAGUUUACAAAGAAAUUUAUAAAAGAUAAUAUAUUAAAUAAAAUUUAAGUAGUGUGAAUAAUAAACGUAAAUUAUCGUUUCUUUGUUCACAGAGAAACAUAUUUUCGUUUAUCACCUCACAUAAUCAAUUCGAGAUAUUAUAAAACGACAAUUUUUGGUUUAUAAUCGAAAAAAAACUACAAUUCGCAUUUAAAUGUGUGGCAUCACCGAGCGACAGAAAGACAAACGUGAUUGCCAUAACCUCUACCACAACUGAGGACAAUGAAAAAUAUAUGUUGCCAGAAAAUGAAAAAUUUGCAAGUAAUCACAGCGAACUAAUAAAAACAGAAAGUUAUAAGAGAAUAAAAAAAAGCUUCAAUCAAAGAGGCCAAGAAAAAAAAUAUGGAUUAAAUGCACACAGGAAAUGGACAGUACGUAUUUGGAUGAAAAUGGCAAUUUAAUGUUUAAUGAUCUAUACCUAGAAGAAAUAGUAGAAACAAACAUAGUAGAACCCGUACAGAAGAAAGAAUACCAAAUAGAUUUAAAGUGUAUAUCGGAAAAAUUCAUGAUUGAAAAAUUUGGAUGUAAACACUCAAAUGUAGAACAAUGGUUGGAGACAUUUGAAAAAGAAUGUCAAAGAAUCGAAAUUAAAGAAGAUAACACAAAAAUUGAAAUUUUAAGAUUAUUCCUUGACAGGGCAUGUUUAGACUGGCAUUCAGCAACACUAACAGCGCUGACAAUAGAGGCUGGUUGGAACGAAUGGAAACAGAGAUUCUUAUGAUGAUGCUUAUGGCAACAGGAUUACCAGAGUUCAUAAGAGAUAAAAUAGAUAGAUAAAAUUUUCAUAGCUCAACAGAAUUAUUACAAGAAAUAAAAAAAUGUGAAAAUUUAGUAAGUAAAAACAGUUUUACAAAAAAGAAAGAGAAAAUACAAGAUAAUAAGAAGAAAUUUGAAGAAAAGAAACCAUGUAAGAAUUGUGAAAAACUAAACAAAGGCAUUAGAUAUCAUUCAAAGGGCUCCUGUUGGUUUAAAAAGGAAAAUAGAAAGGAAACCAGAAUAAACUGAAGCAAUUCAAUGAUAGAAGUGGACCUAUGUAAGGAACAAAAAAAACGAAUAAUCGUUUGAUCGAAGUCCAUUGAUCAAAGUGAAGAUAAUAUUAGAAGAGAAGUUAGAGGUAAACGGAACAUAUGACCCAGGUUCCCAAAUCUCUCUAAUAAAUUCGAGACUAGUCAAAAUCAAAAAAAAAAGAGACAAAAGAUAAAAAUAAAAUAUUUUUAAAGACGGUCGAUGGUGUGACACAAAAAAAAAGUUUAGUAACCAUUAAGGUAAAAAUUUUCGGUAAAGAGGAAUACGUUGAUGUAUUUAUUGUAGAAAGAAAUAACUUUGACGAUUUCAUUAUUGGGUUAGAUAUGGUAAAGAAAUUUAAACUAAUUCAGGAUGAAAACUUACAGAUAUCUCAAAAGAAAGAAACACAAACAAAAAAAAAUAUAAAUACAUGGGAUAGAAAUGAAGAAAUAAAAGAAGUUACAGUAAAUUUUAACAAACAUGUGAAUGAAGACAAAUUUAGAUUGGAUCUGAAUCAGACACUAGUAAACAAAAUAAGAUGCAGGAUAAAUGAGAAAGAAAAAAAAAGAGCUUGGACAACGAUCGCUAAAGAAUGUUUGGAUAAAUAUAAUGAAACAGAACAUACAGUAACCGGCUUUACGCCUAAGUAUUUGUUAGAUGGCACAAACACUAGCAUUUUACCCGAAGAAAUAAAAAGAAGAAACGGUAAAGAAAAUUGGAUAAGAGAUAAAGAACUAGCUCUAGAAAGAACAAAAAAAUCGCACAAAUAUAACAAAAAGAUAUUUAACAAGAAUAGAAAGAAUCACCGGUUUAACACAGGAGAUCUGGUGUAUAUAGAAGAUGUCAAUAGGUUGAGUAGAAAUAAAUUAGAGGAAUUGAGAAUUGGUCCUUUCCAAAUAGUAAAAAAAAUAUCAGAAUCAAUAAACAAAAUAAAAACAGGAAAACGAAAACAAGAAAUUAGAUUCUUCCACAUAACAAAAUUACUUCCAAUAUCAGAAGAUGGAGACGAGGACUAAAAAUUGUAGGAAUUUUAUCCUGCGGGGGGGUGGAGGAGAUUUAAAGAAAGUAUAUUUUCUUCAGAUCAAUUUAGAAAAGCAAAUAUGAUAGACGUACUGCCAGAAAGAGGUGAACAAGAAACAGCCCUAUCGGAAAGUUCUUUGAGAGAUGCUACGGAAACUAAAUAUGCACUUGUAUAAAUUCAACCCAUCGAGAAUAAUUACGAACUUACACCCAUUUAAAAAUUUUACAGUGGUCAAAGUGUUUUUAUAACUGGUGGAACAGGGUUCAUAGGAAAGUUAUUCAUCGAGAAAUUGUUAAGAGAAUGUCCCGAUAUCACUUGCAUUUAUCUUUUGAUACGUACAAAAAAAGGAAAAAGUGUGCAUCAAGGCAUGAAAGAACUAAUUGAAAAUUCUUUAUUUUCCACUUUGAGAGAGAAACAACCAACAUUCCAGAAUCGUAUAGUCCCAAUCAGGGGCGAUUGUACCUUGCCGAAUCUCGAUAUCUCAAUGGUCGACAGAGCUACGCGAGGUCUCAAUUAUUUUUCAUGUCGCCGCAACCGUUAAGUUCAACGAGAAAAUAAAAUUGGCGACAGAAAUCAACGUUCGAAGUGUAAAGGAUAUAAUAAAUUUGUCCAAAGAAAUGUCAAACCGAAGAGUGCUGUGCAGGUAUCAGCGGCUUAUUCCAAUUGUUUUCAUAUUCCACCUGAAGAGAAAUUUUAUGACCCACCGAUAGAUCCCGAUAAGUUGAUAAAUUUGGUGAACAUUAUAAAUGAAAAAUUGCUCGACGAUAUUACCCCACAAUUACUCGGAAUAUGGUCAAAUACUUAUGUUUAUACGAAAACAGCCGCAUAGAAUUUUAUAAAAAAGCAUGCUGACUCUAUACCAAUUGGAAUAUUUCGUCCAGGAAUUGUGAUAUCCACUUAUCGAGAACCUAUUCAAGGAUGGAUCGACAACGUGUACGGAUCAUAAAAAAUGUUUUUAUGGGAUUAAUGCGAAUUCACUACUGUGAUAAAUCGAAAAAUGCGGACAUGGUACCUGGUGAUUUGACCGCC
Molecule: long non-coding RNA, 3121 nt
Organism: Vespa mandarinia (Asian giant hornet)
Lineage: Eukaryota; Metazoa; Arthropoda; Insecta; Hymenoptera; Vespidae
Source: RefSeq, a predicted model, not a curated record